GAAAUGCGAUAACUAGUGUGAAUUGCAGAGUCCAGUGAAUCAUCGAGUCUUUGAACGCACAUUGCGCCCGCCGGCACUCCGGCGGGCACGCCCGUCCGAGCGUCAUGUACACCAUCGGGCCCCCCCCCGCGGGGGCCCGGCGUUGGGGGCCCGCCCAGGCGGCCCCCGAAACCCAGUGGCGUCGGCGGCCGGGGAGGCACAACUGCGAGGAAGGCACACCAUCGCGCCCAGCGCGUGGAUCAUCAGUACAAGCAGUACAGCGACCCGGCCGGCGCACCGCCGUCGAACCGCCGCUCGCGGCACGUAGAACCGAUGACCUCGGAUCGGGCGGGGCUACCCGCUGAACUUAA
This 350-nucleotide unclassified non-coding RNA is filed under the name uncultured fungus. Its description in RNAcentral is "sequence contains ITS1". The stretch from base 1 to 105 matches the Rfam family "5.8S ribosomal RNA", at positions 50 to 154 of the family's 154-position model. The record is from RNAcentral. Lineage: Eukaryota; Fungi.